AACGAACGUUGGCGGCAGGCUUAACACAUGCAAGUCGAACGCAUCCUUCGGGGUGAGUGGCAGACGGGUGAGUAACGCGUGGGAACGUGCCCUUCAGUUCGGGAUAACCCAGGGAAACUUGGGCUAAUACCGGAUACGUGCGAGAGCAGAAAGAUUUAUCGCUGAAGGAUCGGCCCGCGUCUGAUUAGCUAGUUGGUGGGGUAAUGGCCCACCAAGGCGACGAUCAGUAGCUGGUCUGAGAGGAUGAUCAGCCACAUUGGGACUGAGACACGGCCAAAACUCCUACGGGAGGCAGCAGUGGGGAAUAUUGGACAAUGGGCGCAAGCCUGAUCCAGCCAUGCCGCGUGAGUGAUGAAGGCCUUAGGGUUGUAAAGCUCUUUCGUCCGGGACGAUAAUGACGGUACCGGAAGAAGAAGCCCCGGCUAACUUCGUGCCAGCAGCCGCGGUAA
Molecule: ribosomal RNA, 449 nt
Filed under: uncultured bacterium
Lineage: Bacteria
Description: partial 16S ribosomal RNA
Rfam family: Bacterial small subunit ribosomal RNA
Source: RNAcentral